UGCGUAGGUGGUGAGGUAAGUCGGAUGUGAAAUCUCCGAGCUCAACUCGGAAAAUGCAUUGGAAACUACCUUGCUCGAGGGUUGGAGGGGGGACUGGAAUGCUUGGUGUAGCAGUGAAAUGCGUAGAUAUCAAGCGGAACACCAGUGGCGAAGGCGAGUCCCUGGACAACUCCUGACACUGAGGACAAAGCUAGGGGAGCAAACA
This 205-nucleotide ribosomal RNA is filed under the name uncultured bacterium. Its description in RNAcentral is "partial 16S ribosomal RNA". It matches the Rfam family "Bacterial small subunit ribosomal RNA", at positions 568 to 774 of the family's 1533-position model. The record is from RNAcentral.